GAUGAACGCUGGCGGCGUGCCUAAUACAUGCAAGUCGAGCGAACAGACGAGGAGCUUUCUCCUCUGACGUUAGCGGCGGACGGGUGAGUAACACGUGGAUAACCUACCUAUAAGACUGGGAUAACUUCGGGAAACCGGAGCUAAUACCGGAUAAUAUAUUGAACCGCAUGGUUCAAUAGUGAAAGACGGUUUUGCUGUCACUAAUAGAUGGAUCCGCGCCGCAUUAGCUAGUUGGUAAGGUAACGGCUUACCAAGGCGACGAUGCGUAGCCGACCUGAGAGGGUGAUCGGCCACACGGGAACUGAGAAACGGUCCAGACUCCUACGGGAGGCAGCAGUAGGGAAUCUUCCGCAAUGGGCGAAAGCCUGACGGAGCAACGCCGCGUGAGUGAUGAAGGUCUUCGGAUCGUAAAACUCUGUUAUUAGGGAAGAACAAAUGUGUAAGUAACUAUGCACGUCUUGACGGUACCUAAUCAGAAAGCCACGGCUAACUACGUG
This 497-nucleotide ribosomal RNA is filed under the name uncultured bacterium. RNAcentral's name for it is "partial 16S ribosomal RNA". It matches the Rfam family "Bacterial small subunit ribosomal RNA", at positions 28 to 507 of the family's 1533-position model. The record is from RNAcentral.